GGGUGCAAUGGCUUGCUUUUUUUUCCCUAGAAAAGUGUUAGGGGAACAGAGCUCCACGAAUGGAACAUAUGGAGGUGGGAUUUUACUGUGUUAAGCUUGCGCUCCACUUUUUUCUUCUGUCUCUAAUUAUUAUUGGGUUGGGUUAUUAUUAUUACAUUUAAUGGGGAAUCUUAGAGUAGAAAAAAAUCAAGAAUCUACUGUCUUCACAGAACUUAUUUUUAUAUUGUAAACCCUUGAGCCUUUUGACUUCAACACCAGUUCACACAAAACCAAAUUAAUCUAUUAAACCAACAAAUGCAAAACCCUCCAAAAUAACAAGUGGUUAUUUCAGACCACAGGUAGAAUAAAUAAAAUCUUAAAUGUUUGAAACGUUUGUUUGUUUGUUUGUUUGUUUUUGAUAAAAAUCAUUACCCUUGAGGAUGCCUCUACCAAAAAUUAAGAAUGUCAUAAAUUUUGGUAACUAACAAUGUAGCUUUCUCUCCAGUUAAAAUUUUCAUCUUUAGAUGAUCUAAGAAUGAAAAAAAGCACAGAGUCUGUAGUUUUUUUUUGAAAUGUCACCACAUUUGUUGUUGUUGUUGUUAAUGGCAGUGAAGUGCUAUUUCAUAAGCUUGACAUUGUAAGUGUUCUUCUAAAUUAAACUCUGGGAUUUGUUAUUUCAGACUUCCUGUUCAGCAAGCCCCAAGCCUCGUGACAGGACUUCUGCUCUGUUUACCAAUAGUGUGAGUCAGGGCUUGUGGUUGUGGCACAGUCAGCCCCACAGCAGCUUUAUCUCCUCUGACUUGAGGGAAGCCACCAAUGGACUGGAAGGGGAAUCUGGAAGAUCCAUUGGUCCUGAGACUUCAACUCUGCAUGCUGUGAUUGCUUUGGCUCUGACCUCGAGGAAUGAAUGUUUUCUGACUUCUGCGUAAAGGCUAGAAGACAAAGAAGAGGUGAGGAGACAAGUGUUACUGGUCUUCUCGACAAAUGAGGAGAGAUUGAAAUCCAGGAGUAUAAGGACAUUGGGAAAUUUAUGCGACUUGUAAGUACCAGGGACAGACUAGGACUGUGGGCCGUUCUCAAAUAUACACCUAGAUCAAUAAUGGUUUCAAUCUCUUAAUUUUUAGGAGAGAUUUCUGAUGGGGAUUUCAAGAAUCAAGAUAAGCUCUCAGAGGCUUUAUCUCUGAUUAGGGCUUUAUUCCAGUGGGUAGGGCUCUAUUUUUUUAAACUUGCUUUUUAAUGAAGUAAACACUUUGUGAAGCUUUCUUUCUUUCUUUUUUUUUUAAUUUUCCCACUGUACAGCAAGGGGAUCAAGUUAUCCUUACAUGUAUACAUUACAAUUACAUUUUUUCCCCCACCCUUUGUUCUGUUGCAACAUGAGUGUCUGGACAUAGUUCUCAAUGCUAUUCAGCAGGAUCUCCUUGUAAAUCUAUUCUAAGUUGUGUCUGAUAAGCCCAAGCUCCCGAUCCCUCCCACUCCUUCCCCCUCCCAUCAGGCAGCCACAAGUAUUUUCUCCAAGUCUAUGAUUUUCUUUUCUGAGGAGAUGCUCAUUUGUGCUGGAUAUUAGAUUCCAGUUAUAAGUGAUAUCAUAUGGUAUUCGUCUUUGUCUUUCUGGCUCAUUGCACUCAGUAUGAGAUUCUCUAG
Molecule: long non-coding RNA, 1620 nt
Filed under: Sus scrofa (pig)
Lineage: Eukaryota; Metazoa; Chordata; Mammalia; Artiodactyla; Suidae
Description: lncRNA (ENSSSCG00070000925.1)
Source: RNAcentral